This 388-nucleotide long non-coding RNA is filed under the name Gossypium barbadense (sea-island cotton). RNAcentral describes it as "long non-coding RNA (GBAR_LNC010616)". The record is from RNAcentral. Lineage: Eukaryota; Viridiplantae; Streptophyta; Magnoliopsida; Malvales; Malvaceae.
UGGGAUUGUGGCUGCUGCUGAGGCUGAGACUGUGGCUGUGGCUGCUGCGAAGACUGAGACUGAGACUGAGGUGGUUGUGGAGGCUGUAGUGGCUGAGAAGCAGGCCUAGCUAAAUUCAUUGCUAUAUGUGGGGGAAGAGGAGGAGGUGGUGGCAGCGUGUUCGCUCCAUAUCCGUAAGGCAUCACCCCCAUCAUCAUACCAGUUGACUGCAUAUAUUGACUUCCUGAAGGAUUUGCAGGAGAGAGAGGGGGAGGUGGAGCAGAAGCAAAGGGAGAUUGAAUCUGGUUGCCUUGAGACAUUGGUUGCAUACCAGCUGAUGGUGCUAGUGGCAUGUUGUUAAUUGCCUGCUGCGGUAAAGGGUUGAAAUAAGUUGUGCUUGGGAUGUCUG